Molecule: ribosomal RNA, 266 nt
Filed under: Nyctiophylax affinis
Lineage: Eukaryota; Metazoa; Arthropoda; Insecta; Trichoptera; Polycentropodidae
Description: partial 28S large subunit ribosomal RNA
Rfam family: Eukaryotic large subunit ribosomal RNA
Source: RNAcentral
CCGUCUUGAAACACGGACCAAGGAGUCUAGCAUGCGCGCGAGUCACUGGGACAGCGUUACACCCACGGGCGCAAUGAAAGUGAAUAGCGCGCGGAGGGCUCGCCCUCCGCGCCGCAGGGAGGAUGGCGCUCGCGUCCGCGCGCGCGCCCGCACUCCCGAGGCGUUUCGAGAAAUGCCAUCGUCGCGAUUAUCGAGACGCACUGAGAGCGCGCACGCUGGGACCCGAAAGAUGGUGAACUAUGCCUGGUCAGGUCGAAGUCAGGGGA